UUCCUCCCUUCUCUUUUCUGCAAACCACAAACCUUAAAUCUUACCUUGGGAGACAUCCAUGGGAGAUUGCUUGGUAAUUUGUCCCGGUAGUUCCAUGGGGCUUACCGGCCUGUUUCCAGCCAGCCCCAUGAAAGCAAAGGCAUGAGAGGGACUAUGCAAGGCUGCCAGGGAUUCCCUGUCUACUCUGGGCACAUCCCACUAAGCACGAGGCCCUGAUACAUGUUGGCCAGAGAAGGCUGCCUGCUGCUCCCCAUUUCACAAUAUCUUGAUGAAAUGUGGUUCAAAAGGGCACCAAUGAGGCUUACACAAUCCCCCACUCCUUCAGGAUUAAGAAACUAAAGCAUGUUUCUGGCUCCUCUGCAGCCCAAAUGGGGAAUCCUAUCAACUCCAUAGCCCCUUGGAACUCCCAGUGGGGGAAACCUAAACCCGAGGCCCACUUUAGCCUUCUUUCCCCAAGGAGGUCUUAUUGGCCUGCUCUAUGCUUAGCUUUCCAUUAUUGCACUGGUCUGGCAAUCCAGGUGACAAAAAUCUAGCAGAGCCAUUGCUGGGAAUACAGGUGAAGUGGCUGGGACAGUGGUACAUCUUCAGAAAGUUACGGUUCCAACACUAAUAAAUGAAGGGGUUGGAUUUCACUUCUGUUGAUGGUUCCAAUACCCAGAUAUAUUUGGCAACCAUUUCCCUAGACUCACUCUAAGACUUUGCUGAUCAACACCUCUGUUAAUGACCCCAAAUCUGUACAUGGACAAGAGCUGUAAAUACAACAUGAAAUAUUAGCCAGUGUGAAAAGCCUUCUGUUAUCUUAUCGAUGUAAGGAUUUGCAGUAUGAUCUUAUUACUUCUCUCUCUCAUCACUCAUUUUCUCCCUCUGAACAUGCAGAAGAGAUUAAAUAGCUAAAGAGAGCAAAUGACUACAUUCUAACGCAGAAGGCUAUCGGAUCAAACCCUCUAUUUUUCUGUGUACUUUUUGAUGGCCUGUGAAUUGACUUAAUCAAACUGGAAAUGUAUAUGCUAUCUAAAUAAUCU
This 1022-nucleotide long non-coding RNA is filed under the name Homo sapiens (human). RNAcentral describes it as "HSALNT0143531". The record is from RNAcentral. Lineage: Eukaryota; Metazoa; Chordata; Mammalia; Primates; Hominidae.